Long non-coding RNA from Achroia grisella, 611 nucleotides. RefSeq lists it as uncharacterized. The record is from RefSeq and is a predicted model, not a curated record. The transcript is spliced from 3 exons. NCBI's taxonomy places the organism in Eukaryota, Metazoa, Arthropoda, Insecta, Lepidoptera, Pyralidae.
ACACAAUAUAUUGAUAGGGAGAUGAGAUGAGGCCUAAGUUUGCGCCCUGAGAUACGUCAUCGAUGAACUUCUGUUAUUAAUAGGUACCACACUAUCAUUACCGCACCAGACAUGAGGUUGGAAUUGUCUCUUCUUACAAUCAUCAUCGUGGACAAAGUUGUUCAAGUGUAUACCGAGGUCAAUGUGUUAUCCAUUAUCAGUAGAAAGAUAUAAAAACUAUAUACAUAAUACAGACUACUUAGAGCGUUUGACACAUCUAUUAAAUUAUGUCUAAUUUAAUUUGUUUUCUUUUCUUCUAUUACUCAUUUAGAAAAUACAAAAAUUUAAUUGAUUUUCUGACAUUAUAACUCGCAUGUAGCGACCGGUAAUGUAGUACAUAAUCGUAAAGAAAUCAAAUCAAUUACUAUCGCAUAGAACUUGUAUUCGAUUGAUGCAUGUUUAUAGUGUAAAAAAAGUACUGUAAAGGUUAUUAUGGAUUUGUGGUAGCAUUAUAAGAAGUAUGAAUGUAGCGUCAGUAUUUAGAUAUGGGCUUUAAACUUGGUGUAUAGGGUUAUAUAUUAUUAUAAAAGGGCAAAAUUAUUACUGUUAUAAUUAAAUACUUCAGCUGACUA